Molecule: ribosomal RNA, 500 nt
Filed under: uncultured bacterium
Lineage: Bacteria
Description: partial 16S ribosomal RNA
Rfam family: Bacterial small subunit ribosomal RNA
Source: RNAcentral
AUUGAACGCUAGCGGGAUGCCUUACACAUGCAAGUCGAACGGCAGCGCGGACUUCGGUCUGGCGGCGAGUGGCGAACGGGUGAGUAAUGUAUCGGAACGUGCCCAGUAGCGGGGGAUAACUACUCGAAAGAGUAGCUAAUACCGCAUACGCCCUACGGGGGAAAGGGGGGGAUCGCAAGACCUCUCACUAUUGGAGCGGCCGGUAUCGGAUUAGCUAGUUGGUGAGGUAAAGGCCCACCAAGGCGAGGAUCCUUAGCUGGUUUGAGAGGACGACCAGCACCACGGGGACUGAGACACGGCCCGGCCUCCUAGGGGGGGCAGCAGUGGGGAAUUUUGGACAAUGGGGGAAACCCUGAUCCGGCCAUUCCGCGUGUGCGAUGAAGGCCUUCGGGUUGUAAAGCACUUUUGGCAGGAAAGAAAUCGCACGGAUUAAUACUCUGUGUGGAUGACGGUACCUGCAGAAUAAGCACCGGCUAACUACGUGCCAGCAGCCGCGGUAA